Molecule: ribosomal RNA, 253 nt
Filed under: uncultured bacterium
Lineage: Bacteria
Description: partial 16S ribosomal RNA
Rfam family: Bacterial small subunit ribosomal RNA
Source: RNAcentral
UACAGAGGUCCCGAGCGUUGUUCGGAUUUAUUGGGCGUAAAGGGUGCGUAGGCGGCCAACUAAGUCGGAUGUGAAAUCCCCAGGCUUAACCUGGGAACUGCAUCCGAUACUGGAUGGCUUGAAUUCGGGAGAGGGAUGCAGAAUUCCAGGUGUAGCGGUGAAAUGCGUAGAUAUCUGGAGGAAUACCGGUGGCGAAGGCGGCAUCCUGGACCGACAUUGACGCUGAGGAGCGAAAGCUAGGGGAGCAAACGGG